This 492-nucleotide ribosomal RNA is filed under the name uncultured bacterium. Its description in RNAcentral is "partial 16S ribosomal RNA". It matches the Rfam family "Bacterial small subunit ribosomal RNA", at positions 29 to 507 of the family's 1533-position model. The record is from RNAcentral.
AGUGAACGCUGGCGGUAGGCCUAACACAUGCAAGUCGAACGGCAGCACAGUAAGAGCUUGCUCUUACGGGUGGCGAGUGGCGGACGGGUGAGGAAUACAUCGGAAUCUACUUUUUCGUGGGGGAUAACGUAGGGAAACUUACGCUAAUACCGCAUACGACCUACGGGUGAAAGCAGGGGAUCUUCGGACCUUGCGCGAUUGAAUGAGCCGAUGUCGGAUUAGCUAGUUGGCGGGGUAAAGGCCCACCAAGGCGACGAUCCGUAGCUGGUCUGAGAGGAUGAUCAGCCACACUGGAACUGAGACACGGUCAAGACUCCUACGGGAGGCAGCAGUGGGGAAUAUUGGACAAUGGGCGCAAGCCUGAUCCAGACAUACCGCGUGGGUGAAGAAGGCCUUCGGGUUGUAAAGCCCUUUUGUUGGGAAAGAAAAGCAGCAGGUUAAUACCCCGCUGUUCUGACGGUACCCAAAGAAUAAGCACCGGCUAAAUUCGUG